UGGGCAACCUGCCCUCAGCACUGGGAUAACCCCGGGGAAACCGGGGCUAAUACCGGAUACGACCUCGGCGGGCAUCCGCUGAGGUGGAAAGUGUCAGUGGCUGAGGAUGGGCCCGCGGCCUAUCAGCUUGUUGGUGGGGUAACGCCUACCAAGGCGACGACGGGUAGCCGGCCUGAGAGGGCGACCGGCCACACUGGGACUGAGACACGGCCCAGACUCCGUACGGGAGGCA
Molecule: ribosomal RNA, 232 nt
Filed under: uncultured bacterium
Lineage: Bacteria
Description: partial 16S ribosomal RNA
Rfam family: Bacterial small subunit ribosomal RNA
Source: RNAcentral